RNAcentral lists this transfer RNA (66 nucleotides) under Pristaulacus compressus. RNAcentral describes it as "tRNA-Lys". The record is from RNAcentral. Lineage: Eukaryota; Metazoa; Arthropoda; Insecta; Hymenoptera; Aulacidae.
UAUUAGAUGACUGAAAUUUUAAGUAUUGAUCUUUUAAAUCAUAAAUAGUAUUAUUACUUCUAAUAU